AUCGUCUAAAAUUUAGCUAUGUUACAAAUAUGUUGCUUUUUAAUUUUCGGAAUAAUAUAUAUAUUACAUUUUCUAACAUAGUGAUAUAAGUAUUAUAAAAAGUACCUCUAAAAAAAAGUAUUAUAAAAAGUAUUUUUAUAAAAAUAUUACGUCAUUAAUUAGUAUGUAUUAAGCAUUUUAUGUGGGUCAACUUAAUCAUAGUAGAUAUGUACUAUUACUUAGAGACAGCAAUCGGGUCGAUCGAAACGGGUUUCGCAAAUUCCAAAAUUGAAUCCAAACUAUAUUAUAAAUCCUGAACAAUGCCAAAUCAUCAAUGUCACAUAUUUCAAAAAAAAGUCCAAGUCAAUGGCAUAUAUUUUAAAUUUUGCCAUGUCAUAUAAUAUUCCAUAUUUAUUUUAGACCAAUCAGAUGUCCUAAGAUUCCUAAAAUUGUGCGUAAUCAAUGGGUCGGUCGAAACGGGUUUCACAAAUACCAAAAUCGAACCCAAAUCUAUUUAUUUAAGCGUAUCAGAAUAAUCAAUAACAUAUCUUUGAAUUCCUAAAAUUGAGUGUAAUCAAUGACUGACAAUUAUAUUAAAUUUUGAAUGGUAAUGCAAUAACUACAUUCCAUAAUCAUAUCAUUUUUUGAAUGUUAAAUUUGUACAGAACUAAUUAAAAUUGAAAAAGAUAAUUAUAUUGAAUAUACUGCCACAAUUGUUAAGCUUAUCAUGUACUCCCUCCGUCCCCCUGAGUAGUAUACAUUGGGGACGGGGACGCGGCACGGACUUUAAUGCUCCUGCAAAAUGUAGUUGUGCAAUCUAUUUUUAAAAUUUUUCUUUUCUGAAUUAAAGUUUGGAUGUUAUAUUUUUAUACAAAAAAGGAAAAUCUCAAAAAAAAAAGUUACGGAACUAUAUUUUAUAAGAGCAUUGAAAUGCGUGUCGAGUAGUUAAAAAGAAACGUAUAGAAUUAAAUGGGACAGAGGGAGUAUCAUAUAACUACGCUUUAAUUAUAUUAACUUAUAUAUAAAUAAAUGAAGUGCUUAAAAAUUAAAAUUGAAAUUUAUAAUUAUAUUUUUAUUUAAUAUUUAAUAUCCGAAAGUCGUCUAAAAUUUAGCUAUGUUACAAAUAUGUUGCUUUUUAAUUUUCGGAAUAAUAUAUAUUACAUUUUCUAACAUAGUGAUAUAAGUAUUAUAAAAAGUAUUUUUAUAAAAAUAUUACGUCAUUAAUUAGUAUGUAUUAAGCAUUUUAUGUAGGUCAACUUAAUCAUAGUAGAUAUGUACUAUUACUUAGAGACAGCAAUCGGGUUGAUCGAAACGGGUUUCGCAAAUUCCAAAAUUGAAUCCAAACUAUAUUAUAAAUCCUGAACAAUGCCAAAUCAUCAAUGUCACAUAUUUCAAAAAAAAGUCCAAGUCAAUGGCAUAUAUUUUAAAUUUUGCCAUGUCAUAUAAUAUUCCAUAUUUAUUUUAGACCAAUCAGAUGUCCUAAGAUUCCUAAAAUUGUGCGUAAUCAAUGGGUCGGUCGAAACGGGUUUCACAAAUACCAAAAUCGAACCCAAAUUAUAUUAUAAAUCCUGAACAGUGCCAAAUCAUCAAUGCCACAUAUUUCAAAAAAAAAUCCACGACAAAAACACCUAUUUUAAAUUUUGACGUGUCAUAUCAUAUUCCAUAUUUAUUUUAGACCAAUCACAUGUCCUAAAAAUCCUAAAAUUGGGCGUAAUCAAUGACUGACAAUUAUAUUAAAUUUUGAAUGGUAAUGCAAUAACUACAUUCCAUGUAUCAUAGCAUUUUUUGAAUUUUGAAUUUGUACACAAC
Molecule: long non-coding RNA, 1788 nt
Filed under: Daucus carota (carrot)
Lineage: Eukaryota; Viridiplantae; Streptophyta; Magnoliopsida; Apiales; Apiaceae
Description: long non-coding RNA (DCAR_LNC004643)
Source: RNAcentral